Molecule: transfer RNA, 58 nt
Filed under: Chiropterargas boueti
Lineage: Eukaryota; Metazoa; Arthropoda; Arachnida; Ixodida; Argasidae
Description: Argas boueti tRNA-Leu
Source: RNAcentral
GCUAAAGUGGCAGAUUAUGCUAAGAAUUUAAGCUUCUUAUAUGAUUAUUCCUUUAGUA